AUUGAACGCUGGCGGCAUGCUUUACACAUGCAAGUCGAACGGCAGCGCGGGCUUCGGCCUGGCGGCGAGUGGCGAACGGGUGAGUAAUGCAUCGGAACGUGCCCAGUAGUGGGGGAUAGCCCGGCGAAAGCCGGAUUAAUACCGCAUACGACCUGAGGGUGAAAGCGGGGGACCGAAAGGCCUCGCGCUAUUGGAGCGGCCGAUGUCGGAUUAGCUAGUUGGUGGGGUAAAGGCUUACCAAGGUGACGAUCCGUAGCUGGUCUGAGAGGACGACCAGCCACACUGGGACUGAGACACGGCCCAGACUCCUACGGGAGGCAGCAGUGGGGAAUUUUGGACAAUGGGGGCAACCCUGAUCCAGCCAUGCCGCGUGCGGGAAGAAGGCCUUCGGGUUGUAAACCGCUUUUGUUCGGGAAGAAAUCCUCUGGGCUAAUACCCCGGGGGGAUGACGGUACCGGAAGAAUAAGCACCGGCUAACUACGU
This 483-nucleotide ribosomal RNA is filed under the name uncultured bacterium. RNAcentral describes it as "partial 16S ribosomal RNA". It matches the Rfam family "Bacterial small subunit ribosomal RNA", at positions 28 to 506 of the family's 1533-position model. The record is from RNAcentral.